RNAcentral lists this ribosomal RNA (492 nucleotides) under uncultured bacterium. RNAcentral describes it as "partial 16S ribosomal RNA". It matches the Rfam family "Bacterial small subunit ribosomal RNA", at positions 29 to 507 of the family's 1533-position model. The record is from RNAcentral.
AGUGAACGCUGGCGGUAGGCCUAACACAUGCAAGUCGAACGGCAGCACAGUAAGAGCUUGCUCUUACGGGUGGCGAGUGGCGGACGGGUGAGGAAUACAUCGGAAUCUACUUUUUCGUGGGGGAUAACGUAGGGAAACUUACGCUAAUACCGCAUACGACCUACGGGUGAAAGCAGGGGAUGUUCGGACCUUGCGCGAUUGAAUGAGCCGAUGUCGGAUUAGCUAGUUGGCGGGGUAAAGGCCCACCAAGGCGACGAUCCGUAGCUGGUCUGAGAGGAUGAUCAGCCACACUGGAACUGAGACACGGUCCAGACUCCUACGGGAGGCAGCAGUGGGGAAUAUUGGACAAUGGGCGCAAGCCUGAUCCAGCCAUACCGCGUGGGUGAAGAAGGCCUUCGGGUUGUAAAGCCCUUUUGUUGGGAAAGAAAAGCAGCAGGUUAAUACCCCGCUGUUCUGACGGUACCCAAAGAAUAAGCACCGGCUAACUUCGUG